CUGAUGUGUUGCUGUAUUAUAGGAGUUGAAUGUCACUCUCAGCCCUGCCAGGUGGGAGGUCUAUUCUGCUGGCCCCUCCCUCACUACCCAAGGCUGCCUGCUGCUGCAGCCACCACUGCUGAUACUGGACAGCCCAAGAAAUAGGUUGGAGAGGAAAAGGCCAGAGCAGAUUGGGGAAGACUUGGUGGCUACGGCAGCUGGGAGGAGGGGAGUAGAAGGGGCCCCGGGCUGGAGAGGGUGACCCUAGGGGAGGUAGGAGAGCUGUGGCUGGUGGCUUUUGAGCCGGGGGUGGGGGGAGCAGUUGGGGAGGCCCCUCCUGCUCCCUGUCUGGCUCAGCUCUGGCUGGCAGCCGUGGGUGUUGAAUACAGCUCAGCUGAGCAUCGAGCACUGGGGAGGGAGCAAGACAGCUCCAUGGGUGGAUGGGUGCGCAGUGCAGGGGUGGCGCAGGGGUGUCAGCAGCGAUGGCAGCAGGAGGUGGCAGGGGAUGAGGUGGGGGCAGAGGAGGCAGCUUUGGAAACAGGGCCUCGGGGGCCCAGUUGAGAGGCAGAGCAGCAUACUGGAGGUGGCCUGGAGCAGGCAUAGGUAGCCUGCCCCUUCUCUGUGCAGGCCAUCGUCAUAGGACACCAAGAAAUGGGCUGGCAGGCUGCCCACCCAUAUGGGGAAACUGAGGCUCAGGAAAGCAGGCUGUCCAGAAGUUAGCUAGUCAGAACUGGGGUUCCAGAGCCCAGCAUUGGAAGAGGGCAGCAGGGGAUAAUAUGACAGAUCCUUGAGGCUGGGGACCCCCAUCUGCCCCAUCCCCAGAGAAUCCUCGGACAGGAAGGGAGGAUACCUGAGGAGCAGGAGAACAAGCUUAGUCUCUACAGCCCCGGGGCCUCAGUCUACUUCUCAGUGAAAUGGAGACAGCCUCAGGCUACCUGUCAAUGCUUUCAUCUUUGGUGAUGAACCCCGAGGUUCCAGCACUCAGAGGAAAUGGAGGGGCCCCAGAAAAACUACCUCUUAGCUUUUGGACCUCUGGUUACUCUCAAGCAGUCUGUGCCUCAGUUUCCCUCCUACAUGGGGAUCCCAGGUCUUCCUGGGCCAUGCUGGCACAGGGUAGCGGGGUGCUGUGCCUCCCCACUUCUCUCCUCCCUGUACUCUGUUCCCCCGCUCCCUGACCCUGGCUCCCAGAACCCUGGAGGGCUGCUCUGAUGAGAGGUUCAUUUUCCUUUCAUUGUGCAGGUGACAGACCCUGCUGCCAAUAAUCUCCUGUGACAAAUCAACACUGAAGUCCAGUGGCUCCCUGGCCCUGGCGGAAUCCAAGUAGAUCGAAGUGGAAAAAACCCAGGGGCUCUGGGGGUGGGGCCUGGAGGGACCGCCACACCCAGCAGGUGCAUCGGGAGGGGCCCAUUCUCUCUGUCAUCCUCGUAGUCUGCCCAGAAAUCCCCUCCCUCCUCAUUCUUCAGGAUGCUCUGAAGAAGCAGGGUGCCAGGUGCCAGGAAGAGGGACCUAUCCUGAAGGGGAUCCUGAAAUGCCUGGGGCAACAAGGAGCCAUCAAAUACUUGUAAGCUGAGGACGAAUGUGAGGAAAUCCAAUUUCCCUCCUUGUCUCUCUGUCUCUGCAGCACGGGGCUUCCAGGGUAGAUCUGGCCGGCCUCUGGGGUCCCAAGCCCUCAUCCCGUCAUGGGUGAAGGAUGUGAAGAGGGCUAGAAGUGGGACCGGUGUGCCACUCUCUGGAUAGGCGAUCUCACAGAUGAGUGGGAGAGCCUGAGCCUGGCAGGAACUCUGACCUGGGGGUCGGGGGUAGGGGUGGGCAGAAUUUCCCCUAAUGGUCUCAUUUUGUGCCUCUUCCUUAUUCUGAGGCAGGGGAUCUGUCUGCACUGAUGCAUUUUUCAGAUGAGGAAGACACCAAGAAAUCAGCAUCCCUGGCCUCUGAGUCAGUGCUGGGCACCAGGCAGCGCUCAGUGAAGGGAUGGGAUAGGUAAACCGAGGCACAGAGAGGCUCUGGUGCUCAAGCUGCAUGUCUCUCCUGUACCUUUUCUUCUGCUCCUGUGCGUACCUGCCGUGCCCCACCUUGCUGAGAAAAGAGAGGAACCUGUGAGGAGGGGCGUGCUCUGAGCCCGGGCUGACUAGAGACUGGAAGAGUUGCUCAGCCCUCCUCCGCAGGUGGAGUGUGACAGGAGCAGCAUUUGGGGUCGUCCUAAGAAACGGAGACCACCGGAAAAAGCCGAGGGAGCUGACAACACAGGAGAGUUGGGAGCCGAGGUCCUGGGAAGGAACAGGUGGCAUCACUACAGUCUAAGACCAUGGAACCUCAUGGCGCAGUUGGAGGGAGCAGCAGCAGUAGUCUUGGGCCAAGCUUCAUCUGGGGCAAACCCAUGGGAGAUUCCCAGCUUCCCUCAAGAGCCCAUUCCAGGGCCUCCUGCUUGUCCAUCGCGCCAAUCCCACAGGAAACCAUUGACAUGGAGCCCGAAGAAACUGUUUCCCCGAGCCCAGGCAUCUUCAGCUGCUGGGCAGACCAAUCCUGUCAGGGACAGCCCGAGGGCUGGUGUUCUCUGCUGGAUGCUAUCCACUGCUCCGAGUGUGGUCUGGCCCCUGCAAGGCCCUCUUCAGCCUGAGGUUUGACUGUUGACUCUUCAAGGAUCUCUCUAGCCUUUAGGUCCCAACUGGGUGUUGAACUGGGGUUGCAGACUGCAUAGCCUCUUCCAAAGGCUUGGCACUCAGCCCCAGCUGGGAGAGGGGAGCAGGCAUGGGGGAGGUUGGACCUUCAAGAACCUUCCAAGCUGGAGAGGUAGAGAAAGCAUCGGGCAGGUUCUAAGAGCUGUUGUGGGCACAGAAUCUUGUAGACAGAAUUUGUGCACAGUGCAAGGAUGCCCACCAGGGCCAAUAGGCCUGAGUGUCAACCUAAGCUAUGACUUGAAACUUAAGACUUUGAGAGAGAUUAAAAAAAAUUUUUUUUAUAUGUGUGUAUGUGUGAGUGGGGUCAUCUGUGGAGGUUAGAAGUGUUGUCUUCUCUCUCUGGGAGCUGGAGUUACAGGUGAGUGUGAGCCCCCUGGCAUGGGUGCUGGGAAUUGAACUCGGGCCCUCUAGGAGAGCAGUGUUCACUUUUAACUGUUAGCCAUCUCUCCAGCCUGAGAGGAUUGGUUCCUGGGACUAAAAGGCCAGGCCCACGAGCACUGGAGAACUUGCAACAGGCCACUCACAAUCAUCAUCAGAGACAGGGCCUGGACGGAGGGCUGGAGGUGCUGGGGUUCCAGCUAGCCCUAGCCGUCGGGCAGGCUUUCUGGCGUCCCUGAGUGCCCCCAGGCCCACCUUGGAACUCCCUAUCCAGAGCCCUGGGGAUGCUUAAGGCAGGGGCUUGCCUGCCCCGCCUGCCACUCUCAGGCUGGUGGCGGGCACUGGGUUCUGAGGACAACUCCAGACAAGAAGGGAGAGCUGGAGGGAGGGGCCACUGAGGUGAGAGAGGGAGCAGCCGGUGAGUGUUCGAGAGUCCCUUGAUCAUUCCAGUGAUGUUGGGACAUACUGUGUGUACACCAGAGGCCUGCUGGGUAAUGGACAGGGUCCCGAGGUCCUCUGGGGGCUGUACCUGCAGACCCCUGAAGCUGGACUGGGGAUCCCCUCUCAAGUCCUGCGGCCGGUGGCGGGACUGACGCUCUCUGUGAUGGAUUCUGCCAU
This is a long non-coding RNA of Peromyscus californicus insignis, 3650 nucleotides long. RefSeq lists it as uncharacterized. The transcript is spliced from 3 exons. Lineage: Eukaryota; Metazoa; Chordata; Mammalia; Rodentia; Cricetidae. The record is from RefSeq and is a predicted model, not a curated record.